GUAAGGUUCCUGUAUUCAUGAACUUAUUUUUGGCAAAUGACAAAAAAUAUUCAAUGAAUUUUGAAGGGACUAUAGGGUUAAGCCAGAUAUCAGAUAUGAACUACAAGGCGAUGUCAUAUUGAGUACUUUUGACUCCUAAUACAAACCUGGAGAUCAUCAAAGACAUUUAGGCGAAAAUAGAAUGAUUACUCAAAUUAAAUGGAUCAUGCCUUGUCUUGGCUUGGGACUCUCAGUUAAGUGGGGCAAUCACAAAAAUUCAUUCGCACGGAGGCAGGCUUGUCCAGCAGUAUUAGAAACUUAAAUUAAUCCCUGGCGCUGCAGAUCAGUAUAUGUCUUUUUGUUGUAAAUAUUCCCGUCUUCAUACUCCUCAAGAUCUGGCCACCAUUUGUUCGGUCCUUGUCGGUCUUGUAUUUUUUUCCACAAUUCUUUUGCUUCCUCAAUUGAUGUUAUCUCAUUAAAGUUCUUCGUGUUUGGAACACCAAGACAAUGCAUUCCAUGCUGAUGGCGUCCCUCCUUAAAAUGCCGCUCAAAAGUCCUACGUCCCUAGUAACUGUAGUUCCCACAUAUAUCACACCUGAAUUCCUGACCAAGACCAUGAAGUUUAUACAGCCAGUGAGGAAAAGGCUUUCCAUCCCAACCCAUUGCUAGCUUGAGAGGAUUGCAUAUCUGUUGCUCCUCAUCAUCACUUUCAGUAUCAGCUUGUGUCUCUUCCUGCACCAUAUUUCAGGUCAAAUAACCAUGUAUCAACAGCAACCACAAGAUACAGGAUUCAAUUCAACUAUCCUAAAUAGUAUAAUAUGACAACUUUUGGCACUACAACAAUCACAAGAGGAAGAAAAGAAAAAUUUCAUGACGAAGUGUCCUAAUAAUACAUUACAAAAAUUUUCCAGAUGCAAUUACUUUUCCCUACUUGCCACUGUGCUGGGUACCUUAUACUGCCAGAGCGAGGGCAUUGGGUUAAAUUUCAAAUUUUUCACAAGUUCUUAGAAGAAUUUUCAAAACCAACAUAAAUUUGGACAUAUAUUGAAGUUGAUCUACACUGUAGUAACAUAAGAACUUGUGCUACUUUCUGUUAACUUAUCUCCUCACGUUCUGCUUCCAUUUCAUCAUAUGUCAAAGCCUGCUUCUUCACAACAUUUUCUUUUGUUCGUACAAUAGUCUGUGGUGGUUCAAAAUAUAAAAAAUCCACAUUUAAGCCCUUUAGAAAAAGUAAAUGAAAGUUCAGCUUAGGAAGGUUAGUAAAAAUGCACCAUGAUAUUCAAGUGCAGUUCAGGCACUAAGAACAAAGUUGACAGGUACUGACACCUUAGAUCUCAAUGAGCUAUCUCUAAAUGAAGAGAUUCAAUAUAAUCAAUAAGAACCAGACAAUUUUGCAACAGCAUUUUACCUUACUCAGUAAAUCACAUAGUUUUUUCAUUUUGGCCUCCAUCAGGGCAAUUGCUUUUGAAUUAUUAACUUCUUUUAAGGCAGUUGCACCUCCAUUCCGUUCUGAUCCAUGUGAAACUUUUGCAAAAUGUUUAGUCCUAAUGCACCCAAUGCUGAACAGUACUGCCAGUCUUUAGUCCUAAUGCACCCAAUGCCUUUGACAAUAUCCUAUCUAGAUCUUGUAAAGGCUCUGUCCGCUGAAAAAAGUACAUUAAAUACUCAAGUAGAUUUUCCAUAUAUUCCCUGUAUUGCCUGCAGAAAAUUAAAACAGAAACAGAACUAUCAAAUCCUGGAUGAAUUGUUUGCACUAAAGAGAAGAUGUGGGUGUCGAGAAAUGAACCUUUAAUGAACAAUAUUUUUCUGCUUGCAAGAGAGAGAGAGAGAGAGAGAGA
RNAcentral lists this unclassified non-coding RNA (1817 nucleotides) under Hevea brasiliensis (rubber tree). The record is from RNAcentral. Lineage: Eukaryota; Viridiplantae; Streptophyta; Magnoliopsida; Malpighiales; Euphorbiaceae.